AAUGAACGUUGGCGACGUGGAUUAGGCAUGCAAGUCGAGCGAGAACCAACGGUGCUUGCACCUGCGGGGACAGCGGCAGACGGGGUAGUCAUACAUAGGUUACGUACCCUCAGGUCCGGAAUAGCCACGGGAAACUGUGAUUAAUGCCGGAUAAUCUCUGCGGAGCAAAGGUGUGAUUCCGCCUGAGGAGCGGCUUAUGCGUUACUAGGUUGUUGGUGAGGUAACGGCUCACCAAGCCUUUGAUGACCAGGGGGUGUGAGAGCAUGGCCCCCACCACUGGGACUGAGACACUGCCCAGACACCUACGGGUGGCUGCAGUCGAGAAUCUUCGGCAAUGGACGCAAGUCUGACCGAGCGACGUCGCGUGCGGGAUGAAGGCCCUCGGGUUGUAAACCGCUGUCAGAGGGGAGGAAAUCGUAGUUGGCUAUCCUUCUACGUUGACCGAGCCUCAGAGGAAGCACGGGCUAAGUUCGUG
Molecule: ribosomal RNA, 475 nt
Filed under: uncultured Planctomycetota bacterium
Lineage: Bacteria; Pseudomonadati; Planctomycetota
Description: bacterial SSU rRNA
Rfam family: Bacterial small subunit ribosomal RNA
Source: RNAcentral